Molecule: ribosomal RNA, 468 nt
Filed under: uncultured bacterium
Lineage: Bacteria
Description: partial 16S ribosomal RNA
Rfam family: Bacterial small subunit ribosomal RNA
Source: RNAcentral
GACGAACGCUGGCGGCGUGCUUAACACAUGCAAGUCGAACGGAAAGGCCCUGCUUUUGUGGGGUGCUCGAGUGGCGAACGGGUGAGUAACACGUGAGUAACCUGCCCUUGACUUUGGGAUAACUUCAGGAAACUUGGGCUAAUACCGGAUAGGAGCUCCUGCUGCAUGGUGGGGGUUGGAAAGUUUCGGCGGUUGGGGAUGGACUCGCGGCUUAUCAGCUUGUUGGUGGGGUAGUGGCUUACCAAGGCUUUGACGGGUAGCCGGCCUGAGAGGGUGACCGGACACAUUGGGACUGAGAUACGGCACAGACUCCUACGGGAGGCAGCAGUGGGGAAUAGUGCACAAUGGGCGGAAGCCUGAUGCAGCAACGCCGCGUGCGGGAUGACGGCCUUCGGGUUGUAAACCGCUUUCGCCUGUGACGAAGCGUGAGUGACGGUAAUGGGUAAAGAAGCACCGGCUAACUACGUG